GAGAAGAAGAAAGAAAAAGGAAAAGAAAGAAAGAAAAGAAAAAAAAGAAGGAAAAGGUUUUGGGUCAAAGGUCCGGUGGGCUUGCAAAACAGGAUUUGAGUGGCAAGCUUGGGUCUUCUGUGGGCUUGUGAAAAUUGGGCCAAUCUAGCCCAGUAAGAUGUCAAAGAUUGAGAUUGUGUAUUUCAUUCCCAUUGUUGACGAUUAAUAAGUGAAGAGGUUAGAAAUGCUUUCUUCACACUUCAAUUGAGCCUAUGUGAGUGAAUGUGAAUAGCCAAGCCAUGGAAGAGAUUCGAGUUGAUAAUUUGCAAAAGUUAAUGGUCUUGUGUUAGAUAGUUUUGUUUUGUGGAUGUUAAUUUUAUUAUCUUUAACUUUUUAUUAUAUUGAAGUUUGAAUGUUAAUUUGAUGGUUUAUAUAAAAAGAUAUAAUUAUGUAAA
Theobroma cacao (cacao) is the source of this 434-nucleotide long non-coding RNA. RefSeq lists it as uncharacterized. Lineage: Eukaryota; Viridiplantae; Streptophyta; Magnoliopsida; Malvales; Malvaceae. The record is from RefSeq and is a predicted model, not a curated record.